Molecule: long non-coding RNA, 1156 nt
Organism: Scylla paramamosain (green mud crab)
Lineage: Eukaryota; Metazoa; Arthropoda; Malacostraca; Decapoda; Portunidae
Exons: 3
Source: RefSeq, a predicted model, not a curated record
GAAGGAGGAGGAGGAGGAGGAGGACUAACUCAACUCGCUCUAAAGUAACAUGUCAUCUCCUUGGCAGGGGUGACGGGGCGAGGCCGCCAGCUGUAGCACCCCCGGAAUUCUGGACUCGGCGAGGUAGUCACUCCCUCCCUCCACCGGUGCUGUGUGGCCGCCCCUCAUGUGGCGUGAGAAUGGCUGGCUGUAUACUGUUGCUUGGCACUCGUGAACCAUCACCACUUCAUUGCUAUGUGUGUGAGGAAGAGAAAGAAGGCGAAUAAACUCACCGUGGAAGACAGAAAGAGAAAGACACUCGUACGCACACACACAGAAGCCGGACGCUAUCCUAUCUCAGUCCUAUAACCAGCCUGGCGACCUGCCUUCUGCACUAAGGUUAAGAGGAGGACGCCGUGGUGUUCAUGUGUCCUUCAGAAGCAGAAUAUUCCCUUCAACCAAGAAAGAAGAGAGAAAUAUAGAAGGGCCGUGAAUUAAGGCUCUUCCAUCAAUUUUCCCUUUCCCGCCACUUACAAAAGAGCUGAAAAAAUUAGAAGAAAAAACAGGAUCGUGAAUUUUUUGUUUUUUUUUUUGUUUUGAUAUUUACACAAAGGGGAAAAAAGGACAGCAAGGUCGACGGUCUGAAAUGAAUAAGUGACAAGAAAUAAAAAUAUGUGCGUGUGCGUAUGUGUGUGUGUUAAAUUUAGACGCGUGUAGAAUGCAGGGCAGAAAUUUCAUCAGUACGAGAAAAUCAUAAAAAAAUAAAAUAAGAAUAAGAAUAAGAAAAAAUUAGAGAAGAGAAAAAAAAAAGUGCGGCAGGUUAGGCCAGAAAAUAAGGAAAUAACGAACCACAUUCACCGUGAUAAAAAACAAACAAAAAAAAAAAAAAAAGGAAAAAGACACUGAGAGAGAAAAAAUAAAUAAAUAAAACAGGAAAAACAACAACAGAUAGUGAAACACAACAAAUACAGGAACAAAUAGUGAAAAAAAAACAAGAAAUAGAGGACAAAGAAAACUACGUGGAAGGAACAACAACUCUAAAUAAACACACACACACAAACACACACACAAAAACACACAAAUACACUCUCCCACUCAAGACCAGGAAGGGAGAGGAGGAGGAAGUCAACACCUGUAAUUCCUGCAACACCUGAAGAGAGCGGGAGGGCAAGACACA